UACAGGACGAACGCUGGCGGCAUGCCUAACACAUGCAAGUCGAACGGGAUAAGUUGGUUGUAGCGAUACUUUGAACUUAUUCAGUGGCGAACGGGUGAGUAACACGUGAGCAACCUGCCUUUUACACAGGGAUAACAGUUGGAAACGACUGCUAAUACCGGAUAAGACCACACCGAGGCAUCUCGGAGGGUCAAAGCGAUUCAGCGGUAAAAGAUGGGCUCGCGUCCCAUUAGCUAGUUGGUGAGAUAACAGCCCACCAAGGCGACGAUGGGUAGCCGACUUGAGAGAGUGAUCGGCCACAUUGGAACUGAGACACGGUCCAGACUCCUUCGGGAGGCAGCAGUGGGGAAUAUUGGGCAAUGGAGGAAACUCUUACCCAGCCAAUGCCGCGUGAAUGAAGAAGGCCUUCGGGUUGUAAAGUUCUUUUAUUGAUGAUAAAGAAAGUGAUAUUAGUCAACGAAUAAGCCCCGGCUAACUAUGUGCCAGCAGCUGC
RNAcentral lists this ribosomal RNA (493 nucleotides) under uncultured bacterium. RNAcentral describes it as "bacterial SSU rRNA". It matches the Rfam family "Bacterial small subunit ribosomal RNA", at positions 26 to 518 of the family's 1533-position model. The record is from RNAcentral.